CGCCGCGCAAGUGGGCCGACGGUCGACUCCGGCGGCGCAGGGGUAUAGCCCGCCCCGGAAAGCUGCA
RNAcentral lists this non-coding RNA (67 nucleotides) under uncultured Mycobacterium sp. RNAcentral describes it as "hya RNA". It matches the Rfam family "hya RNA". The record is from RNAcentral. Lineage: Bacteria; Bacillati; Actinomycetota; Actinomycetes; Mycobacteriales; Mycobacteriaceae.